Molecule: ribosomal RNA, 301 nt
Filed under: uncultured bacterium
Lineage: Bacteria
Description: partial 16S ribosomal RNA
Rfam family: Bacterial small subunit ribosomal RNA
Source: RNAcentral
CAGUAGCCGCGGUAAUACGUAGGUGGCAAGCGUUGUCCGGAAUUAUUGGGCGUAAAGGGCUCGCAGGCGGUUUCUUAAGUCUGAUGUGAAAGCCCCCGGCUCAACCGGGGAGGGUCAUUGGAAACUGGGAAACUUGAGUGCAGAAGAGGAGAGUGGAAUUCCACGUGUAGCGGUGAAAUGCGUAGAGAUGUGGAGGAACACCAGUGGUGAAGGCGACUCUCUGGUCUGUAACUGACGCUGAGGAGCGAAAGCGUGGGGAGCGAACAGGAUUAGAUACCCCAGUAGUCCCUGUCUCUUAUAA